CCUACGGGAGGCAGCAGUGGGGAAUAUUGGACAAUGGGCGAAAGCCUGAUCCAGCCAUGCCGCGUGAGUGAAGAAGGCCCUAGGGUUGUAAAGCUCUUUCAGCGGGGAAGAUAAUGACGGUACCCGCAGAAGAAGUCCCGGCUAACUUCGUGCCAGCAGCCGCGGUAAUACGAAGGGGACUAGCGUUGUUCGGAAUUACUGGGCGUAAAGCGCGCGUAGGCGGACGCUUAAGUCAGGGGUGAAAUCCCAGGGCUCAACCCUGGAACUGCCUUUGAUACUGAGCGUCUGGAGUUCGGGAGAGGUGAGUGGAAUUCCGAGUGUAGAGGUGAAAUUCGUAGAUAUUCGGAGGAACACCAGAAGCGAAGGCGGCUCACUGGCCCGAGACUGACGCUGAGGCGCGAAAGCGUGGGGAGCAAACAGGAUUAGAUACCCUUGUAGUC
Molecule: ribosomal RNA, 440 nt
Filed under: uncultured bacterium
Lineage: Bacteria
Description: bacterial SSU rRNA
Rfam family: Bacterial small subunit ribosomal RNA
Source: RNAcentral